This 988-nucleotide ribosomal RNA is filed under the name Pedinomonas sp. NYA. Its description in RNAcentral is "partial large subunit ribosomal RNA". It matches the Rfam family "Bacterial large subunit ribosomal RNA", at positions 1053 to 1703 of the family's 2925-position model. The record is from RNAcentral. Lineage: Eukaryota; Viridiplantae; Chlorophyta; Pedinophyceae; Pedinomonadales; Pedinomonadaceae.
AUGGNNGCUNNGKGGAAAAGGAUGUGAAGAUGCUGAAACAACCAGGAAGUUCGCUUAGAAAAUAGGCUGAUUGUUAUUUGGAUAACAAUCAUAAUCAGGUAAAUUGCAAGGAUACUUAAGCAAAGCUGCUAUAUUGCUUAUGUCGAUUUGCAGCAUAGUUGCUCACAGCUCCGCUGGCUAGCAAAAUGUUCAACGACUAGAAACAAUAAUGUUUCCACGAUCGCCUGACACUCAAACCUAUAGAGUUUGAUUGAUGACAUAGUCUGAACUACAUAGAAUCCAUAAUAUGUAGAGGCAAAAGUUAAAUGCUUUUGUACGAAGAACAUUUGAAUUCUUCGCUCAAAUCAAUGGAUUUGGGUAACACACUUGUAGAAGCAGCUAACUUUUAAAGAGUGCGUAAUAGCUCACUGGUAAAGCGUUUUUGCGCCGACAAUGGCCGGGACUAAGCGGCCUGCCGAAGCUGUGGGAUUUUUUUAUUCUUUUCUAAAGUAAUAAAAAGAAUCGGUAGGGGAGCGUUCGACAAGGGGUGAAGCCAACGCGUAAGCUUUGGUGGACUUUGUUGAAGUGAGAAUGUCGGCUUGAGUAACGAAAACAUUGGUGAGAAUCCAAUGCCCCGAAAACCUAAGGGUUCCUCCACUAGGCUCGUCCAUGGGGGGUGAGUCAGGACCUAAGGCGAGGCCGAAUGGCGUAGUCGAUGGCAAACAGGUUAAUAUUCCUGUACUCAUAAUUAUGAGGACCGAGGGACGAAGAAGGCUAAAUUGUAGCUGUGCAUGGAAUGCAGCGGAAGCGUUCAAGGCGUCGAUAGGNUGAAUAAAAACGWYUCNNUANUUCGGGNGUAGGGGURAWSCCMUKYUYCGKAACUUGNNCGGRWGAAGGGGUMAAKCACUGUUUCGUAACUUCGSGAGAAGGGSUAAAGCACUGNNUUUCGUAACUUCGGGAGAAGGGGUAAAGCACUGUUUYGUAACUUCGGGAGMCAGGGGUAAAGCAC